CCUACGGGUGGCAGCAGUGGGGAAUAUUGCGCAAUGGGCGAAAGCCUGACGCAGCGACGCCGCGUGAGGGAUGAAGGUCUUCGGAUCGUAAACCUCUGUCAGCAGGGAAGAACGGUCACUGUGCUAAUCAGCAGUGAAUUGACGGUACCUGCAAAGGAAGCACCGGCUAACUCCGUGCCAGCAGCCGCGGUAAUACGGGGGGUGGGAGCGUUAAUCGGAAUUACUGGGCGUAAAGCGCUUGUAGGCGGGAUGUUAAGUCAAGGGUGAAAGCCCCGAGCUCAACGUGGGAACUGCCUUUGAAACUGGCAAACUGGAGUGUGUGAGAGGAUAGUGGAAUUCCAGGUGUAGGAGUGAAAUCCGUAGAGAUCUGGAGGAACAUCAGUGGCGAAGGCGACUAUCUGGCACAUAACUGACGCUGAGGAGCGAAAGCGUGGGUAGCAAACAGGAUUAGAUACCCCGGUAGUC
This 465-nucleotide ribosomal RNA is filed under the name uncultured bacterium. Its description in RNAcentral is "partial 16S ribosomal RNA". It matches the Rfam family "Bacterial small subunit ribosomal RNA", at positions 338 to 795 of the family's 1533-position model. The record is from RNAcentral.